GGCCCUGUAGUCCAAUGGAUAGAACAGCCCCCUCCUAAGGGGCAGAUCCAGGUUCGAUUCCUGGCGGGGCCGCCA
This 75-nucleotide transfer RNA is filed under the name Burkholderiales bacterium. RNAcentral describes it as "tRNA-Arg". It matches the Rfam family "tRNA". Rfam says of the family: Transfer RNA (tRNA) molecules are approximately 80 nucleotides in length. Their secondary structure includes four short double-helical elements and three loops (D, anti-codon, and T loops). Further hydrogen bonds mediate the characteristic L-shaped molecular structure. tRNAs have two regions of fundamental functional importance: the anti-codon, which is responsible for specific mRNA codon recognition, and the 3' end, to which the tRNAs corresponding amino acid is attached (by aminoacyl-tRNA synthetases). tRNAs cope with the degeneracy of the genetic code in two manners: having more than one tRNA (with a specific anti-codon) for a particular amino acid; and 'wobble' base-pairing, i.e. permitting non-standard base-pairing at the 3rd anti-codon position. The record is from RNAcentral. RNAcentral also lists the same sequence under 2 other names. Lineage: Bacteria; Pseudomonadati; Pseudomonadota; Betaproteobacteria; Burkholderiales.